UACAGAGGUCUCAAGCGUUGUUCGGAUUCAUUGGGCGUAAAGAGCGUGUAGGCGGCUCGGUAAGUCCGCUCUGAAAGCCCGGGGCUCAACCCCGGGAGGCGGGCGGAUACUGUCGGGCUAGAGUCCGGAAGAGGCGAGUGGAAUUCCUGGUGUAGCGGUGAAAUGCGCAGAUAUCAGGAAGAACACCCGUGGCGAAGGCGGCUCUCUGGGACGGUACUGACGCUGAGACGCGAAAGCGUGGGGAGCGAACAGG
This 253-nucleotide ribosomal RNA is filed under the name uncultured bacterium. RNAcentral describes it as "partial 16S ribosomal RNA". It matches the Rfam family "Bacterial small subunit ribosomal RNA", at positions 524 to 776 of the family's 1533-position model. The record is from RNAcentral.